RNAcentral lists this ribosomal RNA (253 nucleotides) under uncultured bacterium. RNAcentral describes it as "partial 16S ribosomal RNA". It matches the Rfam family "Bacterial small subunit ribosomal RNA", at positions 524 to 776 of the family's 1533-position model. The record is from RNAcentral.
GACGUAGGGUGCAAGCGUUGUCCGGAAUUAUUGGGCGUAAAGGGCUCGUAGGCGGUUUGUCGCGUCGGGAGUGAAAUCCACUGGCUUAACUGGUGGCUUGCUUUCGAUACGGGCAGACUGGAGGUAUGCAGGGGAGAACGGAAUUCCUGGUGUAGCGGUGAAAUGCGUAGAUAUCAAGAGGAACACCUGAGGUGAAGACGGGUUGCUGGGCUGACACUGACGCUGAGGCGCGAAAGCUAGGGGAGCAAACGGG